GCAGUAGUAGUUCAGUGGUAGAAUUCUCACCUAACAGGUAGGAGAUCUGGGUUCGAUUCCCAGCCAGUGCA
This 71-nucleotide transfer RNA is filed under the name Loxodonta africana (African savanna elephant). It matches the Rfam family "tRNA". From Rfam's summary of the family: Transfer RNA (tRNA) molecules are approximately 80 nucleotides in length. Their secondary structure includes four short double-helical elements and three loops (D, anti-codon, and T loops). Lineage: Eukaryota; Metazoa; Chordata; Mammalia; Proboscidea; Elephantidae. The record is from Rfam by way of RNAcentral.